UUGAAAGGGAAACGAUUGAAGUCAGUCGUACCGACGGGAAAUCAACUUUUCGAGCGUGAUCUUGUGGGCGCGUGAGAGUUUAAACCUCUGCGUUUUCAAGUUUGUGUUCUUUUGGCGUACUUUCUCGUAUGGUAGGUUAACAUCAAUUUUGGCUGUCGUAAAAUGAUCGGAGGAAUGUGGCUUCGAUUUAUCGAAAUGUUAUAGACUCUGGUAGAUGCGGUUGCCGGGAUUGAGGACUGCAACGAAUACCUUCGGGCUAUCCGCCUGACCUCUAAUCGUUGCCUUGUUGCCGAAAGCUUGCUUACGGUUUUCGAGGUUGAUGGUUAAAAGGUUAGAACGUGAUUAAAUUCCUUAAGGAUGUGACGUAAAUCGAA
RNAcentral lists this ribosomal RNA (374 nucleotides) under uncultured Glomeromycotina. RNAcentral describes it as "partial 18S ribosomal RNA". The record is from RNAcentral. Lineage: Eukaryota; Fungi; Glomeromycota.